Pelobates cultripes (western spadefoot toad) is the source of this 317-nucleotide non-coding RNA. Lineage: Eukaryota; Metazoa; Chordata; Amphibia; Anura; Pelobatidae. The record is from the annotation of a GenBank genome assembly.
AUACAGUGCACCUCAAGGUGAUUGCUCAGCAUUGGAAGACCAAUCACUUCUUAAAUCCUCCACUGUGGUAGGCUUGAAAAGCCGCAAAGACAAACUGGGCUACUGAUCGGUUCAACACUUCGGUCCUGACCAUAGAAGGUGGUCCAGCAGACAAUUUCAGUCCUCCUGUGGUUGAAAACCUCUGAUAGCUGUAGUAGUAGGUUUAGAUACUCAAUAUUAGCCCAGUGUUGCAGAAGCUACAAAGGAACAAAUCCAACCAGCUUGGGUUUCAGGUCCCGAAACCCUCCCCCAUAAGUAGGGCUUUUAAAUGGAUAUAC